AGAAUCAACGCUGGCGGCGUGCCUAACACAUGCAAGUCGAACGAGAAAGUGGAGCAAUCCAUGAGUAAAGUGGCGCACGGGUGAGUAACACGUGACUAACCUACCCUUGAGUGGGGAAUAACCUAGGGAAACCUGGGCUAAUACCGCAUAACACCUACGGGUCAAAGGAGCAAUUCGCUUAAGGAGGGGGUCGCGGCAGAUUAGCUAGUUGGCGGGGUAAUGGCCCACCAAGGCAGUGAUCUGUAUCCGGCCUGAGAGGGCGCACGGACACACUGGAACUGAAACACGGUCCAGACUCCUACGGGAGGCAGCAGUGGGAAUUUUGCGCAAUGGGGGAAACCCUGGACGCAGCAACGCCGCGUGGAGGAUGAAGUCCCUUGGGACGUAAACUCCUUUCGACCGGGAAGAUUAUGACGGUACCGGAAGAAGAAGCCCGGCUAACUUCGCGCCAGCAGCCGC
Molecule: ribosomal RNA, 459 nt
Filed under: uncultured bacterium
Lineage: Bacteria
Description: SSU rRNA
Rfam family: Bacterial small subunit ribosomal RNA
Source: RNAcentral